GUCUGUUUGGAGAUAUAAGGAGUCUAACCUGCCCACUGAUUAAUUAAUUAAAGGGCCGCAGUAUUAUAACUGUGCAAAGGUAGCAUAAUCAUUAGGUUUUUAAUUGGAAUCUUGAAUGAAUGGUUGAACAAAAGGAGUUCUGUCUUUAUACUAAAUUUUGAAUUUAACUUUUAAGUGAAAAGGCUUAAAUAUUCUAAAGGGACGAUAAGACCCUGUAAAACUUUACAUUAGGGUUAAAUUUUAGUUGAAUUUAAUUAUAAAGAUUUAAUUUAAUUAUUUGUUAUAUUGGGGAGAUAUAGGUAUAUUUUUUAUUAACUGCUUAUUGAUUAAACAUUUACUAAUGGGGAGUAAUAGAUCCUUACUAAAGAUUAUUGAAUUAAGUUACUUUAGGGAUAACAGCGUUAUUUUUUUUGAGAGUUCAUAUCGAAAGAAAAGAUUGCGACCUCGAUGUUGAAUUAAAAUAUCUAUAUAAUGGAGAGGUUAUAUAGGAGGGUCUGUUCGACCUUUAAAAUUUUACAUGAUUUGAGUUCAAACCGGCGUGAG
Molecule: ribosomal RNA, 543 nt
Filed under: Potamiscus loshingensis
Lineage: Eukaryota; Metazoa; Arthropoda; Malacostraca; Decapoda; Potamidae
Description: partial 16S rRNA
Rfam family: Bacterial large subunit ribosomal RNA
Source: RNAcentral